ACGAACGCUGGCGGCGUGCCUAAUACAUGCAAGUAGAACGCACAGUUUAUACCGUAGCUUGCUACACCCUAGACUGUGAGUUGCGAACGGGUGAGUAACGCGUAGGUAACCUGCCUGGUAGCGGGGGAUAACUAUUGGAAACGAUAGCUAAUACCGCAUAAUAUUGAUUAUUGCAUGAUAAUUGAUUGAAAGAUGCUAUUGCAUCACUACCAGAUGGACCUGCGUUGUAUUAGCUAGUAGGUGAGGUAACGGCUCACCUAGGCGACGAUACAUAGCCGACCUGAGAGGGUGAUCGGCCACACUGGGACUGAGACACGGCCCAGACUCCUACGGGAGGCAGCAGUAGGGAAUCUUCGGCAAUGGACGAAAGUCUGACCGAGCAACGCCGCGUGAGUGAAGAAGGUUUUCGGAUCGUAAGCUCUGUUGUAAGAGAAGAACGGGUGUGAGAGUGGAAAGUUCACACUGUGACGGUAUCUUACCAGAAAGGGACGGCUAACUACGUG
RNAcentral lists this ribosomal RNA (503 nucleotides) under uncultured bacterium. RNAcentral describes it as "partial 16S ribosomal RNA". It matches the Rfam family "Bacterial small subunit ribosomal RNA", at positions 29 to 507 of the family's 1533-position model. The record is from RNAcentral.